UUCGAGCCUCUUUCUUAUUUCAAGGUAUGCCAUUAACAGAAUAGUGAGUCUAGACCAACGAGCACAUCCCUAAUGAUAAGAAGAGAAGGGUUUUGCAACAAUUUAUAUGUACAAUUUAAAUAAAAUAAAAGUGGUAAAAAAUAUUAUUUUGCACAUUAAGCCAAUUCAUGUAAAAAUAUCAAAGCCAAAUACAACAAUUAUUCUAUGCUCGAAUUCUUGAACCUUGAACCAAAAGUUCUGGGUUCAUGUCCCCAGCAGCUUCGUCAGAGUUGUCACAUCCUUUUUCACUACACCCUGUAAAGGCAUAGAAGAGUUUUUCCAAUUAAAGGAUAAUCAAAACGGGAUUAUAUUAAAAGAUUCAGAGUCGCCACUUGAGAGAUUUAUGGUGUCUUAAGUCAUCGGUUGAAUCCCGAAUCGAGGAAAAAAUUGACUCUAUAUUACAGUCCGCGAACCAGAAAUCCGAGUAAGGAAUUCAGUUAACCCGGGAGAAGAUGUUAGGCAUUUCUGGGUUCCGUGGUUCUAGCACGGUCACUCAACUGUUAUACUUGGAUUUAUCUGAUUUCAAAACAUGUUUUAACUUAUGUGCUUUUAAACUUGAACCACUUUUAUUAUUAUUUAUAAAGAGAAUUGCAACGUCGUGAGAAUGUAUUCGAACCACGUCACAUAAAUGCACUUGUAGUUUUUAACACAUUCUGAUUCCUUUGAGAUUUGAAUUUGUGUCACAUAAAUGCGCACCCGAGUUUAGAAAAGUAAUGUUAUUAAAACACGCGCCUAAAGAGACUAACACGUUAUUAUCUUUUGGGAGGGCCGUAAAAUUCGCUAAAGGUUCCAUCCUGAAUUCUAAGUAUUUUUAAUACAACCAAUUUAUCGAGGGCCCCGCGAUUUGUGCGUUUUAUUUGGCGAUGCUCAUCUCAUUUAUUAUUUAAAGAGGAAAUCUAGAACAAUCUAUAAUUUUUUACUUAAUUUAUAUCUAGUAAUAAAGAAGUAGUCCUAAUUAAUUAAUGUAUUUGAAAUGACCAAAUUCUCACAAUUCAAUCUCAACUCAACUAAGCUUAAUAACAUGAUAAGUAACAAACAAAGCAUUGUUAACAAUUUGUUCAAAACAACCAAGAUUGUAUUUUUAUAAAAUUAACUAGAUAGUUAUAUGCCUGGGCCUAGGCCCUGUACAUAUGCAACAGAAGGGGGCCUGGGCCACUCAAUAAGGAAGUGAAUCCUCCACUUCAUGUAAAUGGGAUAUUUAUCCCAAACCGUCAUACUAAACCAGGCCUAAAUUCGGUUUGCUCAAUUAUUCACUAAAAUUUCCUUCAAGUUAUUCAAGGUGCUACUCAAAUUAAUGAAACACUAAUCACUCAAGUUCCAAUUUAAUACUCAGAUUAUUUCACUUACUUAGCUACUAGUGAGUUUUUAGAUACGACUAGGUGAAACACCAGCAUAAAACACCAAUUUUACUACACAAAGUGGACUAAUUAUCUUUGAACUUAGAUACGACUAGGUGAAACACCAAUUUUACUACACAAAGUGGACCAAUUAUCUUUGAAUUUACUCAACUAACAUUUCCAAGUUAGCUUCAAAUGGUUUGUGAUGUCAGAAUUGAGCUAUUGUAAUCACUAAUGAGAAGACGUUAUUUACUUUUAAUACACAACUCAUCUCAACCUUUUUUUUCCAACUGUUAAUACACCUAACCUCGAAGUGGUUUCCUGUUUCAGCUAAUAUUCUGAUGUCAAAUAUUGAACUACACUACAAAACAAAAUGAGAUGAACCACCUCCAGUUUUAACUGUGCACAGUCCAAACUAAAUUAAAACAGUUCGAAUUAUACAAAUCCUCUAUCUAUUGUUCCUAUAACACAAGUUACAAUUAGCCAAAUAAGUGCACAAUCUAUCUAAUUACGAACGACAAAAAAUAAUCCAUGCAUGUAAAUUUGAUGAACAUUUUCAUUUCAAUUCCAGUCAUAGAUUACACUGAUAUGAGUUCAAACUGUGUACCUGGAAGUUGAAAAUAAGAUCAGCAACAAGAAUACUACAGCAGCAAUAUAAGAUCUUAGAAAACCAACACGGCACCAAUUGACCAAAAAUAGGCCCCACUAAACCACACACUCGAUGAAUGAUCCAUAGCCAACUCAGAUAAACCAACACCAAUGUUCAAAUGAUUCCAAACACUUCCAGAUUUGAAGUAUUGAACAGAAACAAAGAACUCAAGCUAUUUUUGGGUUUCAAAAUGGGUUGGAGAGUCGAACUAAAGAUGAGAUUUGAAAAUAACCUAAAGGAAAACAAUCGAACAAUGUUUGUUUUUUGGUUUUUUAUUAUAUUUAUACUAUUUUUGGCAUUAAUUUUUCAGAGCUGAAAACUUGAAAAUGGUCGAAGGCAAUGAAACAUUACUCUAUCAUCUCCCUAAAACUGAAUUCCUCUUCUUCUUUUUAACUCUUUCCAACUCUCAAAAUGCUGUCUCAAAACUGAAAAACUCUCCCUCUUUUCAAUCUCAGAUUCUCUAAAAUGUCCCCCCCCCAUUCAAUGUCUGAGCCCCCUCUAUUUAUAUCCAAACUCAACCCUUUCCAUCCCCUUAAAAUACUUAACCAGAUAGAAAACUAAUUUCCCCAUCCUGAUCUCUGAUUUUCCAACAUGUAAAGACUGCCAGUUCCACUACUAGCUCCCUUUCCCAUUAUUCUAAUUCAAUUAGUGUGGGCAACCUGAAUUCUAAAUUAAUGGUAUGGGCACGCCCAUACUUUAAAUUAAUUCCCACGUUCCUUUGUAAUUGAUCCCUAAAACCCCAUGUUAUUUAUGACCUUUUCAAACUUAGUAAAGCACUCAAAUCACCCAAUAAUCCUAUGUUACUUAAUGCAUCCGAAAGUUCUGGAUAUAAAAAGAAGACAGAAAUGCAAACAAACCAAUACAAAUGCACUUUACAAUUAAGGAAACAUAUGACAAUUGAAUCACAUUGAUUCAUUUGAAAAAUUAAUCGGCUAUAAGAAUUAAAAGAACACUGAAGAAAGAAAACAAUAAAAGAAGAAGAAAAAUGAAUAAAGCUAAAAAAGAAGAAGAAAACUUACCAGAAUCAAUACUCGAACGGUUGAUCUGCAAAGAAAUCCCCUAUUUUUGGACUGAGAUAUACUUUAACCAUGUAUUCUCUACCGAAAAUAUAUGAAGAAAGUCAAUCUCAACUCGAAAUUCAUGAAGCCCGGCUAAUAUGAUUUUUCGUUUACUUGAUCCAAAAUUCGAGAAAUUCUAUGAUGAUUCAACGGAAACUAAGUAGGGAUUUGUGGUGAGGAAGGUUUGGUGGUCGCUUGGUGUCAAUUUGGGGUUAAUUGGAUGAACUAGGGUUCGGGAUCGAUUCUUUGAUCUAAUAUUUGAAGCAUCCUAGGGUGAUUCGAGGGUAUUGGUUAGAGAGUUGGGAUGGGGAGGUCGAGGGGGUUCCAUGGUGUAAUUUUGGGAGGGAUUGGACCACCGAAACCGCCAUGAGUCACUUUUUGAUGGGC
Molecule: long non-coding RNA, 3470 nt
Filed under: Nicotiana benthamiana
Lineage: Eukaryota; Viridiplantae; Streptophyta; Magnoliopsida; Solanales; Solanaceae
Description: long non-coding RNA (NBEN_LNC032092)
Source: RNAcentral